This is a long non-coding RNA of Micropterus dolomieu (smallmouth bass), 328 nucleotides long. RefSeq lists it as uncharacterized. The record is from RefSeq and is a predicted model, not a curated record. The transcript is spliced from 3 exons. NCBI's taxonomy places the organism in Eukaryota, Metazoa, Chordata, Actinopteri, Centrarchiformes, Centrarchidae.
CAGAAGUUACACUAACUACUGUCUUGUCUUUCACAAUCAAGAGCUCAACACACAAGAAGAGGACCGUUCUGCUGGGCCUUCCUCAUUUCCUCAAAAAUCCCUCGUGUUUGUUGAAGACUGUAGACGUUAUCCUCACUACACUAAACAUACAGAGGAAUAGAGAGGCUGUACGUCCAGCCGACCAAACUACACCUGAAGCAGCUUCAGCCAGAGGCUCCGUGAGUAAAAUCAGCUGAUCACUGCUGCGCCACAAAAGCGUUUAAUUGAUGUGAUGGAAUGCAGCGAUGGAUCAGUGGCAGGUGAUGUGAACAGUAAAUAAAAAUGUACA